Non-coding RNA from Mustela putorius furo (domestic ferret), 131 nucleotides. NCBI's taxonomy places the organism in Eukaryota, Metazoa, Chordata, Mammalia, Carnivora, Mustelidae. The record is from Rfam.
GUCUACGGCCAUACCACCCUGAACGCGCCCGAUCUCGUCUGAUCUCGGAAGCUAAGCAGGGUCGGUCCUGGUUAGUACUUGGAUGGGAAGGGGAAUGGUGAGUGGUGAGUAAUUGCUGGUGGGUGUGUAGU